GAUGAACGCUGGCGGCGUGCCUAAUACACGCAAGUCGAGCGAACAGACGAGGAGCUUGCUCCUUCGACGUUAGCGGCGGACGGGUGAGUAACACGUAGGUAACCUACCUAUAAGACUGGGAUAACCUCGGGAAACCGGAGCUAAUACCGGAUAAUAUUUCGAACCGCAUGGUUCGAUAGUGAAAGAUGGCUUUGCUAUCACUUAUAGAUGGACCUGCGCCGUAUUAGCUAGUUGGUAAGGUAACGGCUUACCAAGGCAACGAUACGUAGCCGACCUGAGAGGGUGAUCGGCCACACUGGAACUGAGACACGGUCCAGACUCCUACGGGAGGCAGCAGUAGGGAAUCUUCCGCAAUGGGCGAAAGCCUGACGGAGCAACGCCGCGUGAGUGAUGAAGGUCUUCGGAUCGUAAAACUCUGUUAUUAGGGAAGAACAAACGUGUAAGUAACUGUGCACGUCUUGACGGUACCUAAUCAGAAAGCCACGGCUAACUACGUG
RNAcentral lists this ribosomal RNA (497 nucleotides) under uncultured bacterium. RNAcentral describes it as "partial 16S ribosomal RNA". It matches the Rfam family "Bacterial small subunit ribosomal RNA", at positions 28 to 507 of the family's 1533-position model. The record is from RNAcentral.